GGUCUGCGUCCAAGGAGAACUUUGCGAACAGUGCUGUGGACAGCCGAGGAGCAGGGCGGAGUCGGAGCACAGCAAUACUUUAAUCUACACAAGGUAAACAUGUCUAACUUUGACCUUGUCAUGGAGUCCGACUUGGGGACAUUCACCCCCAUUGGCCUGCAAUUUACAGGCAGUGAUGCAGCACAAAAGGUGAUGGAAGAAGUGGUCAAACUUUUGGCUCCCAUUAAUACAACCAAACUCGAGGCCCACGGUGAAGGGACAGACAUCUCACCUUGGAUGCAGGCAGGAGUUCCAGGUCAGUCU
Molecule: non-coding RNA, 303 nt
Organism: Neolamprologus brichardi
Lineage: Eukaryota; Metazoa; Chordata; Actinopteri; Cichliformes; Cichlidae
Source: RefSeq, a predicted model, not a curated record